This 96-nucleotide transfer RNA is filed under the name Sphingomonas sp. S-NIH.Pt3_0716. RNAcentral's name for it is "tRNA-Pro". The stretch from base 1 to 85 matches the Rfam family "tRNA". Rfam says of the family: Transfer RNA (tRNA) molecules are approximately 80 nucleotides in length. Their secondary structure includes four short double-helical elements and three loops (D, anti-codon, and T loops). The record is from RNAcentral. Lineage: Bacteria; Pseudomonadati; Pseudomonadota; Alphaproteobacteria; Sphingomonadales; Sphingomonadaceae.
CGGGGAGUAGCGCAGUCUGGUAGCGCGCCUGCUUUGGGAGCAGGAUCGGCCACCAAAAAACGGCGGAUUUCCUAGGGUUUCCCGACACACCUUCCA